GAGGGAAUGAAGGGGCGGGGUGGGAUCUCGGUCAAGCCGGGGCUGGAGUGGCGACAAUUUUGGCUAGUCUGAGAAGGGCAUUCGAGUGACCGUUGACAACGGGUGAAACAGCGUCAAGGCUGAAGAAAGAACCUUAACUAUAUGCUUCCAGGACUUCUAGCUAGACUUAAUAUUUAAAUAUUACCCACCAUUCCAUGGGGCCUAGGAGCAGAAGAUGUGUCUCCUGAGGCAAGGGAAACAAAAGCAAAAUUAAACCAUUUGGACUACAUCAAAAUAAAAAGCUCUUGCACGAUGAAGGAAAUCAUCAAUAAAACAAAAGACAACCCACUGAGUGGUAGAAGAUAUUUGCAACUAACAUGUCUGGAGGUUUAAGCAGAAAUCUUCUAACUCUUUCUCCUGCCUUCUUGCAAAUUCAUCUUAUCUCUGGAAAGAAGUAUGUUGGUGUACCUCUGCUAUUAAAAAUAGGCUAGAGAAAGUUGGAGAAUCCCAGGAUGGAAUACAGACUGUGAUGAAAGAAUCCAACUGUACUAUAAGUGUACGAAUAAAACUUCAAAGAAGGACAUAGAGAGGAAAGGUGCUAUGUAAAGAGCUGGAAAUGAGUGGAGCCUAUAAUACUUAAGUUGGGCCUGUGGUAGAAGAAGCUAGAGAAAGUAAAGGAAGAAGGAAGAAAGAAGGGAUUAAAAAUGCCUUCAUUUUUAGGGAAAGGAAUCUGGAAGAUCCAAGAAUGAACAAGUGGCUGCACCAGUUUGCAUUCCCACCAACAAUGCAGAGCGUUCCUGUUUCUCCACAUCCUUGCCAACAUUCAUGUUAUUUACAGAUAAAAUUAUUUCAAUACAUCAAAAAUAUUUGAA
Long non-coding RNA from Panthera uncia (snow leopard), 851 nucleotides. RefSeq lists it as uncharacterized. The record is from RefSeq and is a predicted model, not a curated record. The transcript is spliced from 7 exons. NCBI's taxonomy places the organism in Eukaryota, Metazoa, Chordata, Mammalia, Carnivora, Felidae.